RNAcentral lists this ribosomal RNA (393 nucleotides) under uncultured bacterium. RNAcentral's name for it is "partial 16S ribosomal RNA". It matches the Rfam family "Bacterial small subunit ribosomal RNA", at positions 523 to 918 of the family's 1533-position model. The record is from RNAcentral.
AUACGGAGGAUCCGAGCGUUAUCCGGAUUUAUUGGGUUUAAAGGGAGCGUAGGUGGAUUGUUAAGUCAGUUGUGAAAGUUAGCGGCUCAACCGUAAAAUUGCAGUUGAAACUGGCAGUCUUGAGUACAGUAGAGGUGGGCGGAAUUCGUGGUGUAGCGGGGAAAUGCUUAGAUAUCACGAAGAACUCCGAUUGCGAAGGCAGCUCACUAGACUGUUACUGACACUGAUGCUCGAAAGUGUGGGUAUCAAACAGGAUUAGAUACCCUGGUAGUCCACACAGUAAACGAUGAAUACUCGCUGUUUGCGAUAUACAGUAAGCGGCCAAGCGAAAGCAUUAAGUAUUCCACCUGGGGAGUACGCCGGCAACGGUGAAACUCAAAGGAAUUGGCGGGG